Molecule: long non-coding RNA, 1214 nt
Organism: Coregonus clupeaformis (lake whitefish)
Lineage: Eukaryota; Metazoa; Chordata; Actinopteri; Salmoniformes; Salmonidae
Exons: 3
Source: RefSeq, a predicted model, not a curated record
AGCUGGGGCAGGAGCUGGGGCAGGAGCAGGAGCAGGAGCAGGAGCUGGAGCUGCUGCUAACCAUGGUGGAGGAAGAGCCACAGGAGAGCUACGAUGAUGUGGUGUCGAUGACCAUGACAGCUGAGGAGACCAGAGAGGAGGUUGCAGAGGCCCUUGAGAGACCCAAACCCAAGGACCUGGAGAUCCAUGAUGAUGAGGAGGAUUACCUGGAACCUGAUGGAUAGGGGAUCCCAAAGUUGGCGUCAAAAAUCUGAGUACCUGCAUAAGAACCUCACGUUCCAUUUUCAUCAGUCCACAUAUAAUAUCGCUGUGUCUUUUUCAUAUAUGAAGAUACAAUUAUUUGAAUUACUUGACUUUUUUUGUCUCUAACAUUUUAUAUUGUUUCAAAUGUUUUGAUUAGUUUGACAUGUUUUGAUUCGUUUGUUGUGCCAUGGCCUGUAAAGCAGAAAUGAUUGACACAGAACAGAAUCAAUAGUGUCUGUCUCACAACAACACAUGUAUUAAUGAAACAUGAUCUUGCUAUGUGGUAGUUUCUUCCAUAAGGAACAGCAUGUGAAAUUAUCAAUUGCUUUUUAUGCGUCAAAGCUCAUAGCCAACAGCUGUUUUUCAAUUACUUUUAUCGUACAUUUUUUUACUACUUUUAGCAUUUAUAAAUGUAAAAUUUGAAACAUUUUUAUUUGUAAUUGCAAAUAAUGAUGUUGUUUUUGUUCUUCUCUUCAACUUCUCAGUAUUUAUGUGUUUAUGAAAGUUAUUAUUCAGAUUUUACACCAAUAAUCAUUUCAAUGUUAGAUUUCUUUCCUUUUGAAUUUAUUAGAUUUUAAGGCUUAGAAAAUAUGAAAGUAGUUGUUCACGGGGUUUAUCUCAUAGCUAUGUAUUUUAUUUGUUUAAACAUGUUUGUUUAGUGUUUUGUUUUCUCUAUGAAAUCAUGUUUGAGAUUUGGUGAUUGGAAUUUUAAGAAUAUUGUCAAUGGGGGGAAAAUAAAACAUUCAGUGUAAAAUAGAAAACUAACUUAAAUUUGAAAAGUAAAACAAAGUUGAGAUGAUGAUGAGAGGUAUAAAAUGAAUUCCAAUUAAGAAUACUUCCACUGAUUAUUUGAUGUACAGUGUCAGAUUUUUUAAAUUAUGUAAUUUACUUUUGAAGAAAAUGAAAAUGCUUUAAUAAUGUACUGUGCUGUCAGUAAUGUUUUUUGAGAGGAUACUGAAUUAUUGGCUUUA